CUGAGACUUGUCAAACUGCCCUCUACGGUCACCCGGAAAGUAGGAGGCUUUUUCUGCAGAGGGGAAAAAAAUCAAAAAGAGCCGUUCCAUCCCCCCUCCAAGGACUGGGUUUGAAUUGCUUUUCAUCUGCAGUGGCUGUGAUUCAGCGUCCCUCUUAGCAGCAGGCAAUGACAGAGGCAGGAGAGGGGAAAAAAAAAAAGAAAGAAAGAAAAAACACAGCAAAUGAAUCAAACGGACCAGGUAGCAGGCAAGAGUGUGGUUAUCGUUGGACCAGGAUUCAGGAUCUGACUGAGUAGCUGACUCUUAAUCCAGUUUGUGUUGAUCACCAGGAGGAUCUGGACCUCAGUAUUACCACAUCUAGAGCUAUAAUCACAUCCCUGUUAAGCCUUCCUGAGAUCACACCAAAUGUCCUUGAUGGGAAUUGUAAACAACCCUUACUUCUGGUUUCUAAUGAUAUUCCAGGAAAGGAGCCUAACUAGAGUCAGUGAUAUGCCAACUCCACCUUUGCCUUCCACCAUGUUUGGAAGCUCCCUGAGGCCUCACCAGGAGCAGAUGCUCGUCCCAUGCUUCCUAUAAGCCUGCAGAACUGUCAAGGAAGCUUUUCCUGAUCCACUAACUAAGGACAAUCAAACCCUUCAUGAUCUAGAAUCUGGAGACUGUGUCUUCUGGGAAUAGUAUCAGAGAAAGACUGCCCUUACUGCCCACAUGUAGCAAAACUUUGAGACGUUGAAUUAUGGGUCCAUAAUCUCACAACUCAGAGGGGCACCUCUAGACUCUUGGAACUGUAUAUCUAUUGGAGACUUUAAGGUAAAGCUGAACAGAGAGACGUUUUUCUCCAGAAGCAGACAGCACCAUAGUCAUGGACAGCUUUCCCAAGAUCACAGAUCAAGACUUCUCUGCCGUCAUGAGACUCAUAACCUCUUAAUUUUUUCUUGCUUAUGCUUCUGUGAACAAUAGAAUUGGAAAAGGGGUGGUCCCGCGUGCACCCAUAGGGUAUACUUUUAUUUGUGGAGGAUUUUGCUGCCAACCUUAUACAUGGGCAAACUUAUGCCUUCAUGGAUGGAAGAUAAAGGGCUAAUAUGGGUUAGAAAUUUUAAUGGUACCUUUGUUUCUCCAUAAUCAUUCAGAAACAGAACACUGGUCCACUCUUGUUAACCUACAUCAUAGGUUGAAGAGAACAUUGCCAGGAGGCCUUCAUCCUUCCAGAUGGGCACCAUUUGUUGGGUCUUUUUCCGUGGUAUGAAGAAAAUGAAGCAAUGAUUAGAAAUUGGUCCCUCGGCCGGGCACAAUGGCUCAUGCCUGUAAUCCCAUCACUUUGGCAGGCCGAGGCGGGUGGAUCACCUGAGGUCAGGAGUUUGAGACCAGCCUGACCAAUGUGGUGAAACGCCAUCUCUACUAAAAAUACAAAAAUUAGCUGGGUGUGAUGGUGCACACCUGUAAUCCAGCUACUCGGGAGGCUGAGACAGGAGAAUUGCUUGAACCUGGGAGGCAGAGGUUGCAGUGAGCCAAGAUCACCCCACUGCAUUCCAGGUUGGGCAACAGAGCAAGACUCUGUCUCAAAAAAAAAAGAAGAAAGAAAGAAAUUGAUCCCUCAUAAUAGGCUGUAUAGCAGAUUCUACUGCAAAGGCUAUGGUUGCACAACAGACUUCUUUGAAUUUGCUUGCUAAACUUUUACUGGAUAAUACUGGGAUUACAGGUGUGAGCCACUGUGCCCAGCCUCUCCUGUUUAACUGUAUUCAUUCUAAUGUUUACUUACUUCUUUAAUUUGUAAAAUUGGGUCACUUAGAGUUUUUUUAGCCUAUCUUGCCAUUUAGCCACUGUUACUGAUAAUUUGGAUGGAAAAGAAAAAUAAAUUAUAUCACCUCUCAUCUUCAGUGUAUAUAUGUGUUAACUUAGUAAAUAUAGUAUUCUUUCUCGUUCCUAAUGAAAAUUUAGUUUACGUACUGAAACACUGCAAACUUUUAUAAAUAUUGUGAUGUAUUUGACCAAUACAAAGGAUCUUUUUAGAAACAGCAAACAGUUCUCAGAUUAUAGGAAUUACUCAUUUAAUGAUAGUUUCUUCUUAAAAAAAAAAAAGAAAAAUGUUUAGUUACCGAAUCAUAAACAACCCCUUAAAAGACACUCAGAUAAUCUCAUGGGUCAGGAAGAUGAUGAUCAGUAUAUUUGGUUAAUAAAAUAUAGCAUAGAAAGCAUAAACCAUAAAUGGAAAAUAUAACAGAUUGUACCAAAGAGAAUACAUUGAAAUACAUUAAGAAAUCGGAUUUAAACUAUGAUUGGAUCCUUCUUUAGGUGGAAGUUAUUUGAGAGAAUAAUUCCAUGAAAAUUAAAAAUUCAUGAUUCUUUCAUUGUAGGCUAGAAAAAUGGAUUUAGUCAGCUGAGAUUAAGUAUGGGGGACUCUACAAGAACCUAUGCUAGGAUAAGAAUAUUGGAGGAAAAACAGUGGAUGAGGUACCAGAUGUUAUGGCAUUCCAUCUUUGUAAAUACAUGCAAUAAAAUCUGGUCUAUCUAGCUUUCUUUCAACCUAAAUGCCACUCACCAAUCUCACUACAUUUCUGCAGUACUGUAAUUGAGGUUUAUAAUGAUGACCCUGACAUGACUUGUGAAUCAUAGCAGAAGAUUAAAUUAUGUUCUGCUUUUUCCUUCAUGUAUUUAAUUAUAUUUAUAUUAGUUGCAAACUGGAAAUCUGAUCUGUUUUAAAACCCUGCUAGAUUAACCAGAGCCUCUUUAUCAGGGACCCAACCAUCCUUAAUAGCAGAGUUUAUAGUUCAUGGGGGGGAAAAAAAACCACCCAGGAACUGAUUUUAAAAUGUGACAUUUGUACUUUCAUAGCAAGAAUAAUUAUUACGAGAUAAUUUGGAAUCAUCCAGCCACAUUUUAAAUAACUAUAACAAAUGUGUUAAUAAUAAAUUCUAUAUAGCUACUUCUUUUUAAUAAGUAUACUUCAUAUUCUGUAGUGAGAAAAAAUUUACCUUUGAAUAAAUAAAUCUUCAUCUCGGAUCUGAUAGAAUGUGGUUAGUGUCAACAAGAUAACAGAUAUUAGGCAUAUUUUCAGUUGAAUUGGUUUGUAUGUAAAAGUUUGGUUUGAGGGUCCCAUCAAGCUGCUUCCCAUCUCACCUUUGGUUUACCCAGUGAUGUAUCGUGACCGUGGUGACGAAAAAGGUCUUCUAAUAAACGUGAAUAAGCAUGUGUUAUAGGUCAGAUUUCCUGCAAGAGGAGCCUGAGACAGAGAUUCUUGUUCAAAUGUCUUAUUGAGAAUGGUCUCUCAGGAGAGGGGAAUGUGGGAGGUAGAAUGGAGCAAGAGGAUAAAGCUAAAAAAAAAAAAAAAAGGUGUGGCCCCAGCUGGAGACUGGCUUUGAUCUGAUCCUGUGGGGAACCUGCUAUAGUUUGGAUGUUUGUCCUCCCAAACCUCAAGUUGAAAUUUGAUCCCCAGUGUUGGAAGUAAGGCCUAAUGGGCAGUGUUUGGGUUAUGGGAUAGAUGUCUCAUGAACAGGUGAAUGCCCUCCCUGGGUAGUGGGAAGAAGUGAGUUCUUCCUCUGUUAGUACCUGAGAGAGCUGAUUGUUAAAAAGAGCCUGAUGCGCUCCACCCCUUUACUGACUCCCCACUGCUGGCUUUCUCUCUCACAUGUAAUCUCUGUACACAUGGGCUCCUCUUCACCUUUGGCCAUGAGUGGAAGCAGCCUGAGGUCCCAACCAGCAGCAAGUGCUGGUGCCACGCUUCUUGUACAGUUUGCAGAACCAUGAGCCAAAUAAACCUCUUU
Molecule: long non-coding RNA, 3758 nt
Filed under: Homo sapiens (human)
Lineage: Eukaryota; Metazoa; Chordata; Mammalia; Primates; Hominidae
Description: non-protein coding RASSF8-AS1:47
Source: RNAcentral